UACGUAGGGGGCAAGCGUUGUCCGGAUUUAUUGGGCUGUAAAGAGCGUGUAGGCGGCCAUACAGGUCAGCUGUGAAAACUCGAGGCUCAACCUCGACGAUACGUCGGUUGAAACCGUAUGGCUAGAGUCCGGAAGAGGAGAGUGGAAUUCCCGGUGUAGCGGUGAAAUGCGCAGAUAUCGGGAAGAACACCCGUGGCGAAGGCGGCUCUCUGGGACGGUACUGACGCGUGAGACGGCGAAAAGCGUGGGGAGCGAACCAGG
This 261-nucleotide ribosomal RNA is filed under the name uncultured bacterium. Its description in RNAcentral is "partial 16S ribosomal RNA". It matches the Rfam family "Bacterial small subunit ribosomal RNA", at positions 524 to 777 of the family's 1533-position model. The record is from RNAcentral.